Molecule: ribosomal RNA, 515 nt
Filed under: uncultured bacterium
Lineage: Bacteria
Description: partial 16S ribosomal RNA
Rfam family: Bacterial small subunit ribosomal RNA
Source: RNAcentral
GAUGAACGCUGGCGGCGUGCCUAAUACAUGCAAGUCGAGCGAAUGGAUUGAGAGCUUGCUCUUAUGAAGUUAGCGGCGGACGGGUGAGUAACACGUGGGUAACCUGCCCAUAAGACUGGGAUAACUCCGGGAAACCGGGGCUAAUACCGGAUAACAUUUUGAACCGCAUGGUUCGAAAUUGAAAGGCGGCUUCGGCUGUCACUUAUGGAUGGACCCGCGUCGCAUUAGCUAGUUGGUGAGGUAACGGCUCACCAAGGCAACGAUGCGUAGCCGACCGGAGAGGGUGAUCGGCCACACUGGGAAUGAGACACGGCCCAGACUCCGACGGGAGGCAGCAGUAGGGAAUCUUCCGCAAUGGACGAAAGUCUGACGGAGCAACGCCGCGUGAGUGAUGAAGGCUUUCGGGUCGUAAAACUCUGUUGUUAGGGAAGAACAAGUGCUAGUUGAAUAAGCUGGCACCUUGACGGUACCUAACCAGAAAGCCACGGCUAACUACGUGCCAGCCGCCGCCGUAA